AUUGAACGCUGGAGGCAGGCCUAACACAUGCAAGUCGAGCGGAUGAAGGGAGCUUGCUCCUGGAUUCAGCGGCGGACGGGUGAGUAAUGCCUAGGAAUCUGCCUGGUAGUGGGGGAUAACGUCCGGAAACGGGCGCUAAUACCGCAUACGUCCUGAGGGAGAAAGUGGGGGAUCUUCGGACCUCACGCUAUCAGAUGAGCCUAGGUCGGAUUAGCUAGUUGGUGGGGUAAAGGCCUACCAAGGCGACGAUCCGUAACUGGUCUGAGAGGAUGAUCAGUCACACUGGAACUGAGACACGGUCCCGACUCCUACGGGAGGCAGCAGUGGGGAAUAUUGGACAAUGGGCGAAAGCCUGAUCCAGCCAUGCCGCGUGUGUGAAGAAGGUCUUCGGAUUGUAAAGCACUUUAAGUUGGGAGGAAGGGCAGUAAGUUAAUACCUUGCUGUUUUGACGUUACCAACAGAAUAAGCACCGGCUAACUUCGUG
This 484-nucleotide ribosomal RNA is filed under the name uncultured bacterium. RNAcentral's name for it is "partial 16S ribosomal RNA". It matches the Rfam family "Bacterial small subunit ribosomal RNA", at positions 30 to 507 of the family's 1533-position model. The record is from RNAcentral.